GUAGUCUCGCACAGAUGCAUAUCAAUAAGCGGAGGAAAAGAAACUAACAAGGAUUCCCUUAGUGACGGCGAGUGAAGCGGGAAGAGCUCAAAUUUGAAAUCUUCAAGGUUUUACCUUGACGAAUUGUAGUUUAAAGAAGUGUUUUCUGUUGAAGUUUUGGUAAAAGUUCUUUGGAAUAGGACAUCAUAGAGGGUGAGAAUCCCGUAUUUGACCAUUAAUUUUCAGCUGUGUGAUACACUUUCAAAGGAGUCGGAUUGUUUGGGAAUGCAGUCCAAAAUGGGUGGUAAAUUUCAUCUAAAGCUAAAUAUUGGCGAGAGACCGAUAGCGAACAAGUACCGUGAGGGAAAGAUGAAAAGAACUUUGAAAAGAGAGUUAAACAGUACGUGAAAUUGUCAAAAGGGAAGCGUUUGACACCAGUGUUGUUUUUCUCGAAAAUCAAUUAAAAAGAGUUUGAUUUUGUUGUGUAUUGACCUUAACAGCUUGCAUUUCAAUUUUCUUGCUUUUUUUAAUGCACUUUUCGUUUAACAAGUCAACAUCAGUUUCUUUUGUUGUAAAAAGGUCAUUGGAAGGUGGCUUUCUUUUCGGAGAAAGUGUUUAUAGCCUUUGACUCCUGCAAUCGGAGAGACUGAGGUCUGCAGCGUAGAUCCUUCGGGGUUAGAUACAUUUGUGCUAAGUUAUAGCUUUUUAUAGACAACUUGUUGACUAUGAUUAGUCUUGUAGCUUACUCGCUUAUGCUAUUUUACCUACGCUUAGGAUGUUGAGCGCAUGUCUCUCUCU
This 777-nucleotide ribosomal RNA is filed under the name uncultured Neocallimastigales. Its description in RNAcentral is "partial large subunit ribosomal RNA". It matches the Rfam family "Eukaryotic large subunit ribosomal RNA", at positions 24 to 616 of the family's 3401-position model. Lineage: Eukaryota; Fungi; Neocallimastigomycota; Neocallimastigomycetes; Neocallimastigales. The record is from RNAcentral.